CUCACCAAACAGCCUGAGUCAGGCCUCUCCGGCUCCUCCUUGGCCUGCAGCCCGGGGUGGACAUCUCCUUGGAUCGCGGGAGGCACCAACGCUGUCAUCGUCCGCAGAACCACAAGGCCUGCUUUCUCAUAAACAAGUCUUACUCCUGCGAAGGAGUUUCACAGGCAUCUUCCUCCUGCCCGCGAGGUGAUGGCACGUGCGGAGGAGGCCACGUCCCCCAGAGCCCUGCUCAGGCUGCAGGCCGCUCCCUGACGAGUCAGUGUGUGUGUGUGGGGGGGGGGGGGGGGGGGUGUCGGCCUCCCUGGCGCUCAGCACCCAGUCCAUUGGCCGUGACUCUGACCAGUACGAGGCUGGGCAGAUGGACUCGACUCGGAGCCCCGCUCCUGGGUAGUGGGGUUCCCAGGACACCCCCACGCCCAACUGCCACUCUCCUAACUGCCGUCGGAACUCUGCUCUGUCCUGGGGUGAGCGCUGGCCGGGGAGCCCGAAAGCGUUUGGAGGGCCAGGAUGUCGGGGGAAGAAACCCACUUGGCUAUCUGAGCAUCAUUGGGUGUGAAGACGCUGGGUGUGAAGACGCUCCGCAGAGGAGCUCCAGACUUGGGAAAUGGACUUGGAGGUCAGCGAGCCAGUAGACUUCAGUACCGGAGAUCACCAGCAUCUGGUCCGGAAAGCAGGAGACAAUAGCACCCAGCCCGAAUCUAAAGAGACCAAGGCAACACCACCUUCACCUGAGCUCAAGCAAACACAUGGGAAACCAAAGCCAAAGACCAACCAGCGAGCUGAUUUCUACGUGGUGGAAAUUUCAGAUGAGACCACCCCUGAAGAGAGCAAUGCUGAAGCCAGCCCAUUCUCAGAAGCAUCUAUCCGCAGAGGUUUCAUUGUAAAAGUGUUCCUCCUCCUGUCUGCUCAGCUGGUGAUCACUGGGGCCAUCAUCUCUGUAUUUAUUUUCUGGCUAGGUUUAAAAAACUGGGUGCACAAGAAUCCCUGGUUCACCUAUGCAAUCUUCCCCGCAUUCUUCGCGGUGCUCAUCGUGCUCGCCUGCUGUGAGAAUCUCCGCCGUCAGGUGCCUGCGAACUACCUUCUCCUGGGAUUGUUUACAUUUUUGCAAGGUCUGAUGCUGGGAGCCGUGUCAGUUUUCUAUGAGGCCGAUGAGGUGUUAUGGGCCAUAGGGGCAACCGCUCUGGUGACGUUAUCGCUCACUUUAUUUGCUCUCCAAACAAAACGCAUCUCAGCUUGGAGUAGCCCCAGGUGUGGGAAGCACACCUGUGGACAAGCUCUCAGCAGCAUGUCACCUGGGGAGCUUGUUGAACCACAGCUUGCUGGCUCCACCCCCGGACACGCAGAGCCGGAAGGUCAAUCUGCAUCCCAGGUGGUGCCCCUGCUGCUGGGCUGAGGACCACACGAGGUGAUGCAGGACUUCAGAGUACAUUUCCUGGCUGGACUUCACCCUGCUCAAUGAAGUGCUGUUCGUCUUGCUGGUCGUGCUUUUAAUCUACGGAAUCCUCUUAAUCUUCAUACGGUCAUACUGGUUGCAUCUGUUGUAUGCUGCACUCGGAACUGUGCUCUUCUCAUU
RNA transcript from Myotis myotis, 1573 nucleotides. It is a transcript of the gene named protein lifeguard 2-like, with no coding region annotated. The transcript has 11 exons. The record is from RefSeq and is a predicted model, not a curated record. NCBI's taxonomy places the organism in Eukaryota, Metazoa, Chordata, Mammalia, Chiroptera, Vespertilionidae.